ACGUUCAUGUCUGUUUUCAGACU
This 23-nucleotide microRNA is filed under the name Eisenia fetida (common brandling worm). RNAcentral describes it as "Efe-Mir-1998-P1_5p* (star (passenger))". The record is from RNAcentral. Lineage: Eukaryota; Metazoa; Annelida; Clitellata; Crassiclitellata; Lumbricidae.